GAUGAACGCUGGCGGCGUGCCUAAUACAUGCAAGUCGAGCGAAUGGAUUAAGAGCUUGCUCUUAUGAAGUUAGCGGCGGACGGGUGAGUAACACGUGGGUAACCUGCCCAUAAGACUGGGAUAACUCCGGGAAACCGGGGCUAAUACCGGAUAACAUUUUGAACCGCAUGGUUCGAAAUUGAAAGGCGGCUUCGGCUGUCACUUAUGGCUGGACCCGCGUGGCAUUAGCUAGUUGGUGUGGUAACGGCUCACAAAGGCAACGAUGCGUAGCCGACCUGGGAGGGUGAUCGGCCACACUGGGACGGAGACACGGCCCAGACUCCUACGGGAGGCAGCAGUAGGGAAUCUUCCGCAAUGGACGAAAGUCUGACGGAGCAACGCCGCGUGAGUGAUGAAGGCUUUCGGGUCGUAAAACUCUGUUGUUAGGGAAGAACAAGUGCUAGUUGAAUAAGCUGGCACCUUGACGGUACCUAACCAGAAAGCCACGGCUAACUACGUGCCAGCAGCCGCCGUAA
This 515-nucleotide ribosomal RNA is filed under the name uncultured bacterium. RNAcentral's name for it is "partial 16S ribosomal RNA". It matches the Rfam family "Bacterial small subunit ribosomal RNA", at positions 28 to 523 of the family's 1533-position model. The record is from RNAcentral.